Non-coding RNA from Xyrichtys novacula (pearly razorfish), 1069 nucleotides. The record is from the annotation of a GenBank genome assembly. NCBI's taxonomy places the organism in Eukaryota, Metazoa, Chordata, Actinopteri, Labriformes, Labridae.
AGCUUCCAUGCAGGUUUCUUUAAAGAGAGUCAAUCAGGAAUCAAAACAUGGAGCGUGUGAUUGCAACACUGACAGCUCUUUUUUUAUUUUCUCUCUCAUUUCAGAUAAAUCAAGGUCAGACCAUCAAAGCCGUCAGAUUCUCAGUCAGAAAUGAAAAGAGGUGAAUCAUGGACCAGCAAAUCAUGCCACGGCCUACGCCAUCCUGCGAUCAAAUAGAAAACAUGUUUUUCUCGUCUGUUCCUGUUUGAUAAUGAAGGUAAGAUGGAUGAUUGUUAAAGCAGUGAAAUGGUAAAUAUAGUGAAAAAAGACGUCAGGAGUGAGUGGAGUCAAAAGCAGAGUUAAAAAAGGGUGAAUAUUUAAAUGUAAUUAAUCAUCAGCUGGAUAUUUAUUAAACCAUUGGCAAUGAAUUAAUAUACCCUGUAAAAGGUUCUGCAUACUGUUUUAGUUGUUUGUGGAAUAUGUUAUCUCUCAAGAAAGGUUUUGAAUCCAGAGGCAAAAAUGAUCACAAUUCAAAGGAGAUUUUUUUUAACCUCAUUAUCCAUGUAGUGAUCUGGGUGGCAUAAUCAUAAUAAAUGGAUUUGCUGCACUGAUUGGCUGCCUCUAGAAAGGAGGGUGCUGACCAAUGCAGAUGAAUGCAGAGGCGGAAAAACACAAAUGACUUCAAUAACCAUCAUUUUCUAUUAGAGUUGUUGCCCUUAUAAAAUCAAGAUUUAGGUCUUCAAAAAGUAGUUUUGAAAAAAAUGUUUGUCGUCGUUGUUGUUUUCUGUCUGGGUUGUGGGGGCAGCAGCUUCAGGAGGGGAGCCCAGACAGUCCUCACCCGAGCUUCACCCACUUCCACCAGCUCCUCUGGGGGGAUUCUCAGGCACUCCCAGGCCAGGCGAGAGAUAUAAUCCCUCCACCUGGUCCUGGGCCGGACACGAGGUCUCCUCCUGGUGGGACAUGUCUGGAACACCUCUAACAGGAGGCGUCCAGAAGGCAUCCUAACCAGAUGCCCGAGCCACCUCAGCAGACUCAUCUUGACGUGGAGGAGCAUAAGUUCUACUCUGAGCACCUCCCAAGUGUCCGAGCU